AGGAACUUCAUCUGAGCUAAUGCCAAGCAGCAGUAAAGGCCCAGCUGAGGAUAAAUACCUUGAACCAUUUAGUGAGCUUAGCUUGCACAAUUUUUCAAUGUUCUCCAACAGCUCUCUGCGGCCUGGGAGCAAGAGCACAAAGAAGAUACAUAGAUGGGAGAUUGGGUGGUCAGGCCUGGAACUUGGUCAUGGCGGACAGUCAUGCAGAUGAGGGAUUCACUGAAGGGGCUAGGUGGGAAUGUGGACUUGGAGGUGGUGGGAAUGAGGCAGACUUCUUGGAAGUGAAGGAGAUUAUCUUAGAAGAAAAGGAAGAAAGCAAGCCUUGGAAGCAGCUAUGUUUAAAGAGAAAGACAAGUCAGUGAAGGAGACAGAGAUAUGGAGGUGAGAGAGGUGAAGGAAGAUCCCAGAAGGCAAGAAGCAUUCACCAGCACGAAGACAAUGCAGCUUCUGGUUCCAGGAAGGUGGGUCUAGAACCUAGCUAGACCUAUCUAGAACCUCAACUUUUGUAACUAUCUAUGGAGACAAUUUGCUUAGGAAGAGUUCAAGUUCUAGCACUAGGCAUCAGUCCUCUCUUGCAGAUGAACUUUAUCCACAGUAUUUGCCCUCCAUCUUCUCUUUUACUUAAAGCUGAUAUACCCAAAUUGGAAGCAAAAGAAACUGGACACGGGACCAGGAGCCUCAGCAAAACCUGCUGCAACAGAGCUCCCAGAGGCCCCUUCAGAUGCUGCUUGUUUUUUUCUUCAAAUUGAGCCUUUGUUGAAAGAAAUAUUUUCCUAUAUUUUGCAGGGAUUUUAGCAGGAGCAAGCAGGAAGCACUAAGGCAGAGAGAGAAAAUUCUGGAACCCUGAAGAGGCUGAGUCAUUGGAGGAUGCAGGCAGUUUCUUCUCAGGAGCAGACAGGGCGGUUGGUGGGAUUGCUCUCUGGAGCAGCACUAUGUGAUCUUCCUUCAAGCAAGUUCAUCUUCUGGGAAGUGGUAAAGAUUGGUUAACACUCCACAGGUGGACUGUGUGAGUCAAACCAUUAUUGGCCUCUCUGUCCCUGUGUGGUCCUGCUACUGCUGUGAUCUCUACUAGGACUCCUACCAGACUCAAGAGGACACAGGCUGUGGGACCACCCUUUGACCCUUGUUCCUGUUACCAAAUUUUAAUAUGUUAACUAAGGGGGUUAAUUUGAAUAGUUAUAGGAAGUAGACUUCUAGGUAGUGAAAUCAGUAGGUAGUGGGGUUUAGCACUUUGGCCCUGGGUUAAGAUCAGAUCAUCCAUAUUCCCAUCCCUUCUUCCCUUACCUUAAAUAAACUAUUAUUUUAGUUAUGUUUAGAUAUGUUA
RNAcentral lists this long non-coding RNA (1324 nucleotides) under Monodelphis domestica (gray short-tailed opossum). RNAcentral describes it as "lncRNA (ENSMODG00000043883.1)". The record is from RNAcentral. Lineage: Eukaryota; Metazoa; Chordata; Mammalia; Didelphimorphia; Didelphidae.